UCCUGCCUACGGGGGGCAGCAGUGGGGAAUAUUGGGCAAUGGGCGCAAGCCUGACCCAGCAACGCCGCGUGAAGGAAGAAGGCUUUCGGGUUGUAAACUUCUUUUCUCGGGGACGAAGAAAGUGACGGUACCUGAGGAAUAAGCCACGGCUAACUACGUGCCAGCAGCCGCGGUAAUACGUAGGUGGCAAGCGUUAUCCGGAUUUACUGGGUGUAAAGGGCGUGUAGGCGGGACUGCAAGUCAGAUGUGAAAACCAUGGGCUCAACCCAUGGCCUGCAUUUGAAACUGUAGGUCUUGAGUGUUGG
Molecule: ribosomal RNA, 305 nt
Filed under: uncultured bacterium
Lineage: Bacteria
Description: bacterial SSU rRNA
Rfam family: Bacterial small subunit ribosomal RNA
Source: RNAcentral